Non-coding RNA from Phrynosoma platyrhinos (Desert horned lizard), 72 nucleotides. Lineage: Eukaryota; Metazoa; Chordata; Lepidosauria; Squamata; Phrynosomatidae. The record is from the annotation of a GenBank genome assembly.
GCCAGUGUAACAUAGUGGUUUGAGUGUUGGACUAUGACUGUGGAAACCAGGGUUCAAUUCUCAGCUCUGCCA